AACGAACGCUGGCGGCAUGCCUAACACAUGCAAGUCGAACGAGACCUUCGGGUCUAGUGGCGCACGGGUGCGUAACGCGUGGGAACCUGCCUUUAGGUUCGGAAUAACUCAGAGAAAUUUGAGCUAAUACCGGAUAAUGUCUUCGGACCAAAGAUUUAUCGCCUUUAGAUGGGCCCGCGUUGGAUUAGCUAGUUGGUGGGUAAAGGCCUACCAAGGCGACGAUCCAUAGCUGGUCUGAGAGGAUGAUCAGCCACACUGGGACUGAGACACGGCCCAGACUCCUACGGAGGCAGCAGUGGGGAAUAUUGGACAAUGGGCGAAAGCCUGAUCCAGCAAUGCCGCGUGAGUGAUGAAGGCCUUAGGGUUGUAAAGCUCUUUUACCCGAGAUGAUAAUGACAGUAUCGGAGAAUAAGCUCCGGCUAACU
This 425-nucleotide ribosomal RNA is filed under the name uncultured bacterium. Its description in RNAcentral is "bacterial SSU rRNA". It matches the Rfam family "Bacterial small subunit ribosomal RNA", at positions 29 to 502 of the family's 1533-position model. The record is from RNAcentral.